GGACAGGUGGCUGAGAGGCCGAAAGCGCUCGGUUGCUAACUGAGUGAACCGCAAGGUUCCGUGGGUUCGAAUCCCACCCUGUCCGCCA
Molecule: transfer RNA, 88 nt
Filed under: Rhodospirillaceae bacterium
Lineage: Bacteria; Pseudomonadati; Pseudomonadota; Alphaproteobacteria; Rhodospirillales; Rhodospirillaceae
Also listed under: 1 other name
Description: tRNA-Ser
Rfam family: tRNA
About the family: Transfer RNA (tRNA) molecules are approximately 80 nucleotides in length. Their secondary structure includes four short double-helical elements and three loops (D, anti-codon, and T loops). Further hydrogen bonds mediate the characteristic L-shaped molecular structure. tRNAs have two regions of fundamental functional importance: the anti-codon, which is responsible for specific mRNA codon recognition, and the 3' end, to which the tRNAs corresponding amino acid is attached (by aminoacyl-tRNA synthetases). tRNAs cope with the degeneracy of the genetic code in two manners: having more than one tRNA (with a specific anti-codon) for a particular amino acid; and 'wobble' base-pairing, i.e. permitting non-standard base-pairing at the 3rd anti-codon position.
Source: RNAcentral